GCAUGCAGGUGGUUCAUUAAGUCAGAUGUGAAAGCCCGGGGCUCAACCUCGGAACCGCAUUUGAAACUGGUGAACUAGAGUGCUGUAGAGGGGGGUAGAAUUUCAGGUGUAGCGGUGAAAUGCGUAGAGAUCUGAAGGAAUACCAGUGGCGAAGGCGGCCCCCUGGACAGACACUGACACUCAGAUGCGNNNGNGNGGGGAGCAAACAGGAUUAGAUACCCUGGUAGUCCACGCCGUAAACGAUGUCUACUUGGAGGUUGUGGCCUUGAGCCGUGGCUUUCGGAGCUAACGCGUUAAGUAGACCGCCUGGGGAGUACGGUCGCAAGAUUAAAACUCAAAUGAAUUGACGGGGGCCCGCACAAGCGGUGGAGCAUGUGGUUUAAUUCGAUGCAACGCGAAGAACCUUACCUACUCUUGACAUCUACAGAAUUCGCUAGAGAUAGCUUAGUGCCUUCGGGAACUGUAAGACAGGUGCUGCAUGGCUGUCGUCAGCUCGUGUUGUGAAAUGUUGGGUUAAGUCCCGCAACGAGCGCAACCCUUAUCCUUGUUUGCCAGCACGUAAUGGUGGGAACUCCAGGGAGACUGCCGGUGAUAAACCGGAGGAAGGUGGGGACGACGUCAAGUCAUCAUGGCCCUUACGAGUAGGGCUACACACGUGCUACAAUGGCGCAUACAGAGGGCUGCAAGCUAGCGAUAGUGAGCGAAUCCCAAAAAGUGCGUCGUAGUCCGGAUCGGAGUCUGCAACUCGACUCCGUGAAGUCGGAAUCGCUAGUAAUCGUGAAUCA
Molecule: ribosomal RNA, 785 nt
Filed under: Aliivibrio sp. B8-7
Lineage: Bacteria; Pseudomonadati; Pseudomonadota; Gammaproteobacteria; Vibrionales; Vibrionaceae
Description: bacterial SSU rRNA
Rfam family: Bacterial small subunit ribosomal RNA
Source: RNAcentral